UGAGGAAUAUUGGUCAAUGGGCGAGAGCCUGAACCAGCCAAGUAGCGUGAAGGAUGAAGGUUCUAUGGAUUGUAAACUUCUUUUAUACGGGAAUAAAACCUCCCACGUGUGGGAGCUUGUAUGUACCGUAUGAAUAAGCAUCGGCUAACUCCGUGCCAGCAGCCGCGGUAAUACGGAGGAUGCGAGCGUUAUCCGGAUUUAUUGGGUUUAAAGGGAGCGCAGACGGGAGAUUAAGUCAGCUGUGAAAGUUUGCGGCUCAACCGUAAAAUUGCAGUUGAUACUGGUUUCCUUGAGUGCGGUUGAGGUGUGCGGAAUUCGUGGUGUAGCGGUGAAAUGCUUAGAUAUCACGAAGAACCCCGAUUGCGAAGGCAGCACACUAAGCCGUAACUGACGUUCAUGCUCGAAAGUGUGGGUAUCAAACAGG
RNAcentral lists this ribosomal RNA (424 nucleotides) under uncultured Bacteroides sp. RNAcentral's name for it is "bacterial SSU rRNA". It matches the Rfam family "Bacterial small subunit ribosomal RNA", at positions 355 to 776 of the family's 1533-position model. The record is from RNAcentral. Lineage: Bacteria; Pseudomonadati; Bacteroidota; Bacteroidia; Bacteroidales; Bacteroidaceae.